This 117-nucleotide ribosomal RNA is filed under the name Deltaproteobacteria bacterium. The record is from RNAcentral. Lineage: Bacteria; Pseudomonadati; Myxococcota; Myxococcia.
UCCGGUGGUUAUAGAGGCGAAGUUACACCCGAUCCCAUCCCGAACUCGGAAGUUAAGCUCGCGAUCGCCAAUGGUACUGCACGGGAGACCGUGUGGGAGAGUAGGACGCCGCCGGAU